Molecule: long non-coding RNA, 139 nt
Organism: Salarias fasciatus (jewelled blenny)
Lineage: Eukaryota; Metazoa; Chordata; Actinopteri; Blenniiformes; Blenniidae
Exons: 3
Source: RefSeq, a predicted model, not a curated record
CACAACUCCCCAUAAUAAGAACAAUCCACUUUUCGAAAGUGACUUAUGUUAAAAUUCUUGCAUUUGUAGUUGACGUGUCACAAUAAUAUUAAUCAUUCUUCUUUUAUACAGCUUUAUCCAUCAGUUUAUUCACUUAAAG